UACGGAGGGAGCUAGCGUUGUUCGGAAUUACUGGGCGUAAAGCGCGCGUAGGCGGCUUUGUAAGUUAGAGGUGAAAGCCCGGAGCUCAACUCCGGAACUGCCUUUAAAACUGCAUCGCUUGAAUCCAGGAGAGGUGAGUGGAAUUCCGAGUGUAGAGGUGAAAUUCGUAGAUAUUGGGAAGAACACCAGUGGCGAAGGCGGCUAACUGGUCCGGAUCUGACGCUGAGGUGCGAAAGCGUGGGGAGCAAACAGG
RNAcentral lists this ribosomal RNA (253 nucleotides) under uncultured bacterium. Its description in RNAcentral is "partial 16S ribosomal RNA". It matches the Rfam family "Bacterial small subunit ribosomal RNA", at positions 524 to 776 of the family's 1533-position model. The record is from RNAcentral.